UGGGAAGAGAGAGCAAGGAGCUGGAGGG
RNAcentral lists this non-coding RNA (28 nucleotides) under Homo sapiens (human). The record is from RNAcentral. Lineage: Eukaryota; Metazoa; Chordata; Mammalia; Primates; Hominidae.